UGCGUCGCAACCAUAGACAUGCGACGCAAAUGAAAAAUUUUAGCUUUAAUUUUAGUCAUUUGCGUCGCAGUAUUACUAAACUGCGAGGCAAAUGACUUUAUAAUGUUCUUAAAGUCAUUUGCGUCGCAGAUUAGUAGAGAUGCGACGCAAUUGAGUCACUCAUUUGCCUCGCAAUAUUACUAAACUGCGAGGCAAAUGACUUUAAAAACCUCUUAAAGUUAUUUGCAUCGCAGUUUAGUAAUACUGCGAGGCAAAUGAAUUUGAAACUUUUCAGAAUUUGGUUUGGCACUCACCUAGCUAUUCUCACUUUGCUCUAACCUAAAUCGAAUGUCUGCUUCUCCUUUCACUGCCUUGUCCUCCUAGCCCGCUUCCUUCCUUGGUCCAACUUCUCACUGCACCCAGGCCAACUGCGACGGCCGUUCUUCCUCCGGCAAGCAUACUCGUCCUCCGGCCUCUUCUCCCUGCGCGCUGAACCUCGUCUCCUCCUGCGCAGUGGUUGUCCUCUUCUCUGUCGUUCUCACUGCCGCCGCAUCUCCUCGCUGCACACUGUCGUCGCGGCUAACAGCCGCCGCUGCUCUCACAGCCGCCGCGGCUCUCACAUCCGUCGCAGCUCACAACCCCUGCACACCGCCCCUGCACACCUCCCUUACUACCACCGCCCCCUGCACGCCGUCCCUGCUCACAGCCACCGCCCCCUGUGUCGUCUGUCCUCUCUUCAAUAAUUAAUUAGGUAUUAUUUACAUUUAAGAUUGAAUUUUAAUCUUGAUAUUAUUUAGUUGAAUUUUAAUUGUGCAAUUUAAUUAUUAUUGUGGAUAUUUUGAUUGAAUUUUAGUUGUUCAUUUUAGUUGAAUUUUAAGAUUGAAUUAUGAAAGGUGCACACCCGAAAAUAGAAGAACCGGAACAUGGAUAUUGAUGACAGGCAAUAUCUGUCGAAGGAUUGAAGAAUUCCCUACAGACAGACUACAUACAAAAAAUUCUUGGUCUAGGUAUCUGUGCUGACACAAUGAUUGGUGAUGCUAUGAGGAGAGGCAUCUCAGGUGGUCAAAAGAAAAGAUUGACUACAGGUGAGAUGAUUGUUGGGCCGAUUAAGGCGUUCUUUAUGGAUGAAAUUACGAAUGGCUUGGACAGUUCUACUUCAUUUCAGAUUGUUUCAUGUGUUCAACAGUUGGUCCAUGUAACAGAUGCAUCUGCAUUGAUUUUUUUGAGAGCUGUGGUUUUAGGUGUCCUAAGAGGAAGGGAAUAGCUGACUUUCUACAGGAGUUGGUCAUUUUAGCUCUGUAAAAAUGACUGUAUAUAUGCGUACUCGGAUGCAUGUGGACAUUCUUCUUGCUAAUUAUUAUUUGAACGCCCUGUUCUAUGGUCUUAUCGUGCUUCUUACUGACUGAUUUCCAGAAGUGUCUGACUAUCAUGAGACUUCCUGUUUUCUUCAAAAACGUUGUAACUAAAAUAUUAAAAAACGAAUU
Molecule: long non-coding RNA, 1463 nt
Organism: Spinacia oleracea (spinach)
Lineage: Eukaryota; Viridiplantae; Streptophyta; Magnoliopsida; Caryophyllales; Amaranthaceae
Exons: 5
Source: RefSeq, a predicted model, not a curated record